RNAcentral lists this ribosomal RNA (555 nucleotides) under uncultured bacterium. RNAcentral describes it as "bacterial SSU rRNA". It matches the Rfam family "Bacterial small subunit ribosomal RNA", at positions 93 to 666 of the family's 1533-position model. The record is from RNAcentral.
GAGUGGCGGACGGGUGAGUAACGCGUGGGCAACCUGCCUUGUACAGGGGGAUAACAGUUAGAAAUGACUGCUAAUACCGCAUAAGACCACAGCAUCACAUGGUGCAGGGGUAAAAACUGAGGUGGUACAAGAUGGGCCCGCGUCUGAUUAGCUGGUUGGUGAGGUAACGGCUCACCAAGGCGACGAUCAGUAGCCGACCUGAGAGGGUGACCGGCCACAUUGGGACUGAGACACGGCCCAAACUCCUACGGGAGGCAGCAGUGGGGAAUAUUGCACAAUGGGGGAAACCCUGAUGCAGCGACGCCGCGUGAGUGAUGAAGUAUUUCGGUAUGUAAAGCUCUAUCAGCAGGGAAGAAAAUGACGGUACCUGACUAAGAAGCCCCGGCUAACUACGUGCCAGCAGCCGCGGUAAUACGUAGGGGGCAAGCGUUAUCCGGAUUUACUGGGUGUAAAGGGAGCGUAGACGGAACAGCAAGUCUGAUGUGAAAACCCGGGGCUCAACCCCGGGACUGCAUUGGAAACUGUUGAUCUAGAGUGUCGGAGAGGUAAGUGGAA